UACGGAGGGUGCAAGCGUUAUCCGGAUUUACUGGGUUUAAAGGGCGCGUAGGCGGAUGUUUAAGUCGAACGUGAAAUCCCCGGGCUCAACCCGGGAACUGCGUCCGAUACUGGCAGGCUUGAAUUCGGGAGAGGGAUGCGGAAUUCCAGGUGUAGCGGUGAAAUGCGUAGAUAUCUGGAGGAACACCGGUGGCGAGGGCGGCAUCCUGGACCGAGAUUGACGCUGAGGCGCGAAAGCCAGGGGAGCAAACGGG
RNAcentral lists this ribosomal RNA (253 nucleotides) under uncultured bacterium. RNAcentral describes it as "partial 16S ribosomal RNA". It matches the Rfam family "Bacterial small subunit ribosomal RNA", at positions 524 to 776 of the family's 1533-position model. The record is from RNAcentral.